CUUAGCUUGCUAAGACUGAUGGCGACCGGCGCACGGGUGCGUAACGCGUAUGCAACUUGCCUCACAGAGGGGGAUAACCCGUCGAAAGACGGACUAAUACCGCGUACACUCCAUCUUGGGCAUCCAAGCUAGAGGAAAAGAAAUUCGCUGUGAGAUAGGCAUGCGUCCCAUUAGCUAGUUGGUGAGGUAACGGCUCACCAAGGCGACGAUGGGUAGGGGAACUGAGAGGUUGAACCCCCACACUGGUACUGAGACACGGACCAGACUCCUACGGGAGGCAGCAGUGAGGAAUAUUGGUCAAUGGGCGAGAGCCUGAACCAGCCAAGUCGCGUGAAGGAUGACUGUCUUAUGGAUUGUAAACUUCUUUUAUACGGGAAUAACAAGAGCCACGUGUGGCUCCCUGCAUGUACCGUAUGAAUAAGCAUCGGCUAACUCCGUGCCAGCAGCCGCGGUAAUACGGAGGAUGCGAGCGUUAUCCGGAUUUAUUGGGUUUAAAGGGUGCGUAGGCGGCCUGUUAAGUCAGCGGUGAAAUCUAGGAGCUUAACUCCUAAAUUGCCAGUGAUACUGGCGGGCUUGAGUGUAGAUGAGGUAGGCGGAAUGCGUGGUGUAGCGGUGGAAUGCAUAGAUAUCACGCAGAACUCCGAUUGCGAAGGCAGCUUACUAAGGUACAACUGACGCUGAAGCACGAAAGCGUGGGUAUCAAACAGGAUUAGAUACCCUGGUAGUCCACGCAGUAAACGAUGAUAACUGGGCGUAUGCGA
This 761-nucleotide ribosomal RNA is filed under the name uncultured Porphyromonas sp. RNAcentral's name for it is "bacterial SSU rRNA". It matches the Rfam family "Bacterial small subunit ribosomal RNA", at positions 74 to 829 of the family's 1533-position model. Lineage: Bacteria; Pseudomonadati; Bacteroidota; Bacteroidia; Bacteroidales; Porphyromonadaceae. The record is from RNAcentral.